RNAcentral lists this long non-coding RNA (201 nucleotides) under Elaeis guineensis (African oil palm). RNAcentral describes it as "long non-coding RNA (EGUI_LNC065250)". Lineage: Eukaryota; Viridiplantae; Streptophyta; Magnoliopsida; Arecales; Arecaceae. The record is from RNAcentral.
GCCCCCAGGUGACUUCUGUAGACUCCUUCGUGUACCUCCCACAGGGCAAAGUCAGCUUCGGAGGGCUGGAGACAUUUCAAAAGGGGCAAAGAGUAUGACCUCUUGUACAGCUUACCCUCAUAAAGGAUAUAUCGGGAGGCCUGAUUUUUGAGCUUUCGAGCUUCUUUUGCAUCAUGAGGAAGAACCCUGUCUCUAAGAUAU